This 1344-nucleotide ribosomal RNA is filed under the name uncultured bacterium. RNAcentral describes it as "16S ribosomal RNA". It matches the Rfam family "Bacterial small subunit ribosomal RNA", at positions 28 to 1378 of the family's 1533-position model. The record is from RNAcentral.
GACGAACGCUGGCGGCGUGCUUAACACAUGCAAGUCGAACGGAAAGGCCCUGCUUUUGUGGGGUGCUCGAGUGGCGAACGGGUGAGUAACACGUGAGUAACCUGCCCUUGACUUUGGGAUAACUUCAGGAAACUGGGGCUAAUACCGGAUAGGAGCUCCUGCUGCAUGGUGGGGGUUGGAAAGUUUCGGCGGUUGGGGGUGGACUCGCGGCUUAUCAGCUUGUUGGUGGGGUAGUGGCUUACCAAGGCUUUGACGGGUAGCCGGCCUGAGAGGGUGACCGGCCACAUUGGGACUGAGAUACGGCCCAGACUCCUACGGGAGGCAGCAGUGGGGAAUAUUGCACAAUGGGCGGAAGCCUGAUGCAGCAACGCCGCGUGCGGGAUGACGGCCUUCGGGUUGUAAACCGCUUUCGCCUGUGACGAAGCGUGAGUGACGGUAAUGGGUAAAGAAGCACCGGCUAACUACGUGCCAGCAGCCGCGGUGAUACGUAGGGUGCGAGCGUUGUCCGGAUUUAUUGGGCGUAAAGGGCUCGUAGGUGGUUGAUCGCGUCGGAAGUGUAAUCUUGGGGCUUAACCCUGAGCGUGCUUUCGAAUACGGGUUGACUUGAGGAAGGUAGGGGAGAAUGGAAUUCCUGGUGGAGCGGUGGAAUGCGCAGAUAUCAGGAGGAACACCAGUGGCGAAGGCGGUUCUCUGGGCCUUUCCUGACGCUGAGGAGCGAAAGCGUGGGGAGCGAACAGGCUUAGAUACCCUGGUAGUCCACGCUGUAAACGGUGGGUACUAGGUGUGGGGUCCAUUCCACGGGUUCCGUGCCGUAGCUAACGCUUUAAGUACCCCGCCUGGGGAGUACGGCCGCAAGGCUAAAACUCAAAGGAAUUGACGGGGCCCCGCACAAGCGGCGGAGCAUGCGGAUUAAUUCGAUGCAACGCGUAGAACCUUACCUGGGUUUGACAUGGAUCGGGAGUGCUCAGAGAUGGGUGUGCCUCUUUUGGGGUCGGUUCACAGGUGGUGCAUGCCUGUCGUCAGCUCGUGUCGUGAGAUGUUGGGUUAAGUCCCGCAACGAGCGCAACCCUUGUUCACUGUUGCCAGCACGUUAUGGUGGGGACUCAGUGGAGACCGCCGGGGUCAACUCGGAGGAAGGUGGGGAUGACGUCAAGUCAUCAUGCCCCUUAUGUCCAGGGCUUCACGCAUGCUACAAUGGCUGGUACAGAGAGUGGCGAGCCUGUGAGGGUGAGCGAAUCUCGGAAAGCCGGUCUCAGUUCGGAUUGGGGUCUGCAACUCGACCUCAUGAAGUCGGAGUCGCUAGUAAUCGCAGAUCAGCAACGCUGCGGUGAAUACGUUCCCGGG